Molecule: ribosomal RNA, 357 nt
Filed under: Brevibacillus sp. RBR-61
Lineage: Bacteria; Bacillati; Bacillota; Bacilli; Caryophanales; Paenibacillaceae
Description: bacterial SSU rRNA
Rfam family: Bacterial small subunit ribosomal RNA
Source: RNAcentral
GAAGCAACGCGAAGAACCUUACCAGGUCUUGACAUCCCGCUGACCGCUCUGGAGACAGAGCUUCCCUUCGGGGCAGCGGUGACAGGUGGUGCAUGGUUGUCGUCAGCUCGUGUCGUGAGAUGUUGGGUUAAGUCCCGCAACGAGCGCAACCCUUAUCUUUAGUUGCCAGCAUUCAGUUGGGCACUCUAGAGAGACUGCCGUCGACAAGACGGAGGAAGGCGGGGAUGACGUCAAAUCAUCAUGCCCCUUAUGACCUGGGCUACACACGUGCUACAAUGGUUGGUACAACGGGAUGCUACCUCGCGAGAGGACGCCAAUCUCUUAAAACCAAUCUCAGUUCGGAUUGUAGGCUGCAAC